RNAcentral lists this long non-coding RNA (530 nucleotides) under Pan troglodytes (chimpanzee). Its description in RNAcentral is "lincRNA". The record is from RNAcentral. Lineage: Eukaryota; Metazoa; Chordata; Mammalia; Primates; Hominidae.
UUUUCAGAUUGCUCCUGUGUUUCAUAGAUGGGAAAUCAUACUGAUGACUCAACCAUAUAUAGCAUUAUUUUGCUGGUUCAUGCUACCUCAGCGGAAACAGCUGCCAAAGGUCAUCUGACAUAAUAGCUGAUGAAUUCAAGCCCAGUGGAUUUCAUUUGCAAUUUUCAAUUUACUGAGGCCUCCAAACCCCACGGUGAUAAAAGCUUCCCCUAUCGUGGCCUGUCACAAACAUCAAGAAACUGCACAAACCCACAAGAAAGAAAAAAGAGAAAGCUGUGCAUCAUCACAGCUAUAGAUAAGGAGAACAGGAAGAAAUGGUAUCAUGCAGGAAGGUGGGGAGCAGCCUGUGUGGCUAGUUCUCUAAAUGCCAAUUGAAACGAAAAGACUAUGAGGAACAAUCAAAUAACUUCCACAGAAUAACAACAUGUUUCUUUGGAGCUUUUAUGUGAAAAUUGCCUUCUAAUCUCUGACUUGACAUGCUCCCACACAAAAAUGUAAGUGUAAAUAUGCAAAUAAAUAAAUGAAUAAAU